Molecule: long non-coding RNA, 11144 nt
Organism: Mus musculus (house mouse)
Lineage: Eukaryota; Metazoa; Chordata; Mammalia; Rodentia; Muridae
Product: predicted gene, 52698
Exons: 3
Source: RefSeq, a predicted model, not a curated record
GGACUUUCCAGGAUGUGCCUUAUUUUCCAGUAGAGUUUAGAUGGCACCAGCUCCCAGAGUCCAGCUCUCUGAGUUUGGGGAGAACGCUGGGGACGAUCUUUGUAGUAUCAGCAAAGACACUGCAAUGGUAUUUACUUUAGUUACAAGACCAAGGUUGGUGUAAGUUUUGCUCUCGGUCACUUGUUGGGUUCUGUCCUGAGGAUUCAAGGGGUUAGGUUCUGAACUGUACAGAGCAAGGAAUUUCUGUAACAACGAUGGCAGAGGUUCCAAUCUGACACAUGGCUUGUCAAAGCCCUGGAACUCUGGGAAGUCAGUCAACCUCACCCAACCUCGGACUGUAAACUGCUGUGGCACUCCCUCAGAGGCUGGAGGAAGAACUAAGGUGGAGAGCACACGUCGUACCUGACGUACGUGCUCGGCAAUAUGGCACCACUGUUCUUCCGCCUGUGGCAGAUGACUAGUGUGGUUGUUUCUUUUCUCUCUUCCCAGUUUCCAGAAAAAUCUGAAGCCUUUAGGUCUAAGGCACUUGUGGGCAAGUCUUCCAGCAGCCAAAGGCAUAAGCUGGCAGGGUGAUGCACGCUGGUAUCCUUAGUGCUACAGAGAGGCAGGCUGUCCUCAGCCACAUAGCAAGUUCCAGGCCGGUCUGGACUGAGAGACACUAUCUCCAAUAUCAAAAACAGACCAGGGAAGAACAGUCAUGCCCCUUCUCUUUCUCCCCUGCACUAAGACUGGGUCCACGAUCCCGUGUCCAUCACAUCUACGCUGGCCGGCUUCCCUGGACUCUCCAUCCAUCCUAUCUCUAGUGUUACCUGCUCUAACACGUUCCCAGAAUGACGUACUUCUCAUACGUGCUCGGCCAAGGGGAGGGGCUGUCUGAUCCCAAGAUGGCAGGAGAGGUCUCUCUAGGCUGUUGUGUGCACAUCACAGCUGCCUGUUUGGCCUACAGACUAAUAAUAGCAGCUCCGAUGGCCGUGGAUUAAGACAGAACUGUACUUCGUGUUUAUUUUUAACACUCCGGCGUCAGUAUCAAGUUCUACUGGUUACUGGCCAAAUGUAGGGCAGCUUCCUACUCUGGGAGUGGCCUCAGGCUAGUUCAGGUUGCUAAGUUGAGUUCUGGAGGAAGCUGGCUUUGUGGAAAACAGUUUGGCUUUAGCAGACAGGUAAGUGGAAGAGGCAGAGGCAGAUGUCCCGAACAGGCGUCUAGUCCCAAGACUGUGGGAUCUCACGGACCUCAAACUGAUAGCUGCUGCCCCGAGCACUCCCCUCAGUCAGGAAGAGCUAAUGAGCUGUCUUGGUCAGGACUUACGCGCACGCGCACGCGCACACGCUGGCUGUAUAGAAGUGAUCGAAACAAAGUCAGGGAAGGUCCCCACUCAACGUCCCCAAGCUUGACCUUGUCACAAGUCACAGGCUAGUGCCGCGGCCGCGUGUGCUGACGAGAGGAAGAAAAGGAAUACUCGGGAGAAUAUUAUAGGGCACGGGGACAAAGAACAGGCUGAGACUGUCCGACUCUGAUUUGCAUGGUUUCCAGUAGGAACAUCAGAUUUCUUAGAAAUUUGUGCCAGCAGGGCUGCGUUCCGACAGCGCACCACUGGCUAGAGCCACCAAGAAGCCAGCUGUCUGGCCAGAAGCCAGCGCCCACGUCACCUCUUCCCCAAGGCCUAUAGCGGGGUCCCAGUAACCGUACAUAAGCCGACUACAGCCAAGAGGAGCCCCAAGGCUAUCUCCAUCACCUCCCUGCCCCACCAGGCUGACAGGAAGCAGACAGCUGGGCAGCUCGUGUAAAUAGCUCUAGACUUGCCUAACGAAGCAACUCAUCGCACAGCAGACGGAUGGAGAAUGAUAAAAAUGUGUCACGCGUCAGGACAGUGGCCGUACUCAAGACUGGCAGGAGAAUGGUUAAGAACCUGCUUAGCAAUGAAGGCAGUGACUGCACUAACAUGUGAGAAAGAAGACAGAGAUGGGAAAGCAGCAGCAGGACUCGCUGGCCUUAGUUUAAAAGGCCCCAGAAAGCAACACUGAUGGCUGAACAAAGGCAGCACUGUACCCUGAGCCCAGCACAAGCCUUCGCUCUCUGUCCUGCAACUCCUCAGCUGGCCCGGCCUCUACACAUCUAUUUCUCAUUGAUACGGAUGCACUUUUACUGCCACUGCCUUCUCUGAGAUUCCAAACAGACCUGCAAACCUCCCUUGCCUGCUCUAACGAUACCGACCUACCUGCCUUUGGAGAAGGGGCCCUAGGGACCAGCAAACUCAAUUCAGAAAGGGCCAGAGAGCAGAUAUUUUGGUCUCUAUGGGUAGUAUAGUUUUACAAUGCACUCUUGGGUUUUUCUUUGUAAAAUACAUUUUAUUGUUAAAUUGACCAUUUAUAGUCAUAGACUUAUGGGGUUCCGAGUGACGUCAUGGUUUAUGAAUACAAUGUGGAAUAAGUAGAUCAGAUAAAUUAAUAUCACCCCAAAUACUUAAUCCUUAUUUGUAGUAAGAAAAUUUGAAUUUUACUGUCAGAAAAUUUGAAAUGCACAACCCUCUAAAAACGUAAAAUCACCAUGCCUUUAAUACCAGUACUUGGAAGGCAGGGGCAGCAGCAAAUGGAUCUCUGUGAGUUAGAGGCCAUUCUGGUCUAUAGAGCAGGCCAGCCAGGACUACACAAAGAAACCCUGUCUUGAUAAAACCAACCAACCAACCAACCAAACAAACAAAAAAGUAAAAAUUACUCCCAGUAAAAGCAUAGCAAAACCACCAUGGCUUGGAGUAUAAUUUGCUGACCCCAUAUCUAGAUUGAGUAUGCAUGUAUGUAUGAACAUACAUAAGUAUAAACAUAUGUAAGUAUGCAUGUAUGUAUGGAUGUACGUACGUACGUAUUAUGUAUUAUGUAUUAUGUAUUAUGUAUGUAUGUAUGUAUGUAUGUAUGUAUGUAUGUAUGUUGUUUUAGAUCCUAAAGGCCUCUUUAUGUAAGGUGGGUAUCUAGGAAUUCUGCCUGUGCUGGGUGUGCCAAAAAACUUUCCUUCUUCUUCGAACAUGGCUGACAGCAGAUAUUACUGCUUUACCACUCUAGAGUGCAGAAGGAGCCUGGACCAUCUCUCUAAUUCUGCUUGGUAACCCACUCUGUGCUCCCACAGGGCCUUUCCCUCCACUCCCAGUUUUCAAGUCCUCGGGGACAUCCCUCCCUCUGACUUCCCUGGAUGCUAUGGGUCAGGACAGAAAGAGGGGUUGCAUACAGCAAAUAUGGACGAAAAAUCCAAGGGUAGGGUUCAGGUCUCUCUGAGCAGAGACAGGACUGCCUGAAUGUAAGAGCUAUCAUAAAUAGUUCCAGACACUGUAAAUAGGAACCAAACUGCUAUUGAAGCAGCCUAUGAGAGAUGUGGAACUGGUUAUGAAUCUUUGGAAUUUUAUAUCCCCAGGUACUGCAUACUGCAAAGAAAGAAAUGGCUGACAGCUCUAUAGUUAAUCCUCAUAGCGUUACUGGUGACUUACUAGAUAUGCGACCCACAGUGCUAGCUGUUGGUCAUAAACACAUUUCUAAUUGUCACAAUAACUAGCUAUGCAGAGUAGAUAUUCUAGCCCUAAUUUACAGCUGGGGAAACCCACACUGUCUGGGAUUAAGUUUAUUCACAACCAUAGAGCUGGGCUGGGAGCUCUGGACUGACUCACUCUGGCCAGUCCUCACCAUGCUAAUACACUGCUCAAAUUCUUGGAGGACAGGAACACUAAGUAAAUGCCUCGAGAUUUGUUUAGAUUUUGUUGUAAAAUGGCAGCAAUCUAUUGGUUUGCCCUUCGCAAUAAUAUGACUAUUAAUAAACGACAAGAUAUUAAAAAUCACCAGCAUGGCAGUCCUAUAGUAGUGACUGACCUCAAAUCAAUACAGUUAUAUUCUCAUUCAGCCUGGUGGCUUAUUUGAACUCAUAUUUCAGAAGACUAAAACAAAAUGUAAAUAUAUUCACCUUUGCCUCGUGGCUAAAGAAGUCUCUUCAAGAGCUUGGUGUCGCCUCUCUAUUUUGUACAUACUUUGGGCUGAACUGAAUCAAUCUUCUACCUUCCCAAAGCCCAGACUGCUAGCUGCCAAUCAAAUAUUCGUCCUUACUCUUUCUCGGGCUGAGUACGAGUUGUCCAGGUUAAAUUCUGCGCUCCCACUUCCCUUGCAGCCCUGAGCAUGCUUGCGGAGGAAGUAUGCAGCCUGGGGCAGUCUCUGCGUAAUGGAUAGUGCAUCCUUCCUCUCUUCCCUGUGCUUCCAGGGCAGGUGUGAUGAGUACAGCGACCAUCUAGGGCCAUAAAGAUGGCCCGGGGGAAGCAGCACAGAACCCUGCUGGGGAUGGUGAGUGGCUAUGGAAUGCCUCCCAGGCCAGGACUGGAGUUUUGCAGCUGCUGUGUAGAAGUAAACUCUUCCUUUUGCCAAAGUCGCCCAGUUUGGGUUUCUGUUACUAAUACAUAUUCUACUUUAGAUGUCCAGCUACAUCUCAAGACUCAAGUCUUUAUGAUCCUGUCCACCAGCUCUCCAUUUUUAUUGCCAUGAAGAGCAACCUAUAAUUAUCGCUUGUCUGAAUCUUUACAAUGUCUGACCCGAAACCUUGAAUCAUCCUUUUAAAAUGACGUCUAUCACAUUAUUCUCUUGCUUAAAAACUUUUAACAGAAUAACUGACUGGAUACUUCAAAAUGACUACCAGAGAGGACUUUAGCAAAUGUUUAAGGUGACGGGCAUGCCAAUUACUCUGACCUGACCAUUUUACAGUAUGUAAAUACAGAGAAGUACCAUACUGUGCUUUGUAAAUUGUACAAUUACGUACAUUUAGGUUUUUAUAAAACCCAAACUUCUCAAGGUAUACUUGGCCCUUCACAAUCUCUUCAGCCUCACCCUCUGCCCUGUGGUUUCUACCACCUCUGUGCUAUCUAGAACCUGCUCUGGAGUUGUCUAGAUAACACCUACACGUCCUUCAAAUUUUCCUAUAGCUUUUCGAAUCCUUGAUUAGCACAUGAUAGUUCUCAGAUGAAGGCAACCCUGGUGGUCCUCCUUACAAGAGAAAUAAAACCAUGAGCAUAUUAAGGGCUAUAACCCAUCUUAACGAUGCUCUACACUGUUUUCCUUCCUCUUUGGCUGCAUGCAUCUCCAUCUCUGUAGCCACCUAACCUAGCCUAAAGCCUGACACAAGGUAUGCUUAGAAUUCGUCCUGACCUUGUACAUGUCAGGCUAGAUCUCUCUCUCUAAACUGGAAGAUGUCUUUCUCUGGACUGGACUGCAGCUAUCACAAAUACAGUCUGACUCCGGUUCUCCUUGCUGGGGUGUGGGAAUGCUGGAGCGGAAAGACCAGCUGACUUCUGGGAUGUGCGGAAGUAUCCCAGGGACCACUUCCACGGCCGGGCCUGGAGCUGCAGUGUGAGACCCAGAACGGCCUCCAGCUUCCACGUCCCUUCCUCCUUCCGCCCUCUCCCUCCCUUUAACCUCCCAGUCUUCAAUUCUGCCGUUAGCUGUUCAUGCAGGCUGCUGAGUAGUGAGGAAGGAAUGCAGGCUGCGUGUCAGAAAGUCCAGCACUGGUCGAGGAACAUUUUGUUUUCUUUUUCCUUAAAAGGGCAGCGAGGGGAAGAGGGCAGUCUACAAAGUUACAUAAGGCCGCUGUCCUCGCUGGGAGCUUUUCCAACUCCAUCUGGAGGACUCUUCAGACUGUUUAGAAUUUCAAGGAAGGGCUGAGCUAACCUAUACUAGGGCGGUCUCUAGAGGUAGGGAGGUUCUGGCAUGGGGAACAUGACUCUUCACCCCCACUGCCAACUGCAGCCCCACCAGGCUCAUGUGGGGACGGAAUAUUGCAUAACCCGCUUACAGACAAACCUCACAACAAGGACAAGCCCCUUUGCCAAAACAAAGUCCACUGGUGUCAGGCCUUCAGUGCCCACUCCAAAAGAGGUGGGAUCUUGGGGAUCCAGCAGCCCAGCCCAGCAGCACAGCAACUGGGACCCGGCAGGUACACAGCCAUCCUUCCGUUUCAGGGAGACAUACACCCUUCCCGUUUCAGGCAUGGCUACUGAAACAUGAAUAUGCAAAUGAUCAUUUAGGCCUUGGGGAUGGCAGCAACCAAACAGUUAAAUCUUAGGAGUCUCUGGGAAUGAAUUCAGAGAGGUCUUGCCUGGCCUGUAUAUGUUUCUGGGUUCAAUUCUCAGUAAUGAACAUGGACAAAUAUAAAGUGGGCUGGUGAGGUUGCUCAGUGGUUAGAUCGCUUGCUAUGGUGGACCUGGGGAUGUUCCUAGCACUGACGUUGUGGCAGCUCACAACCAUCCACAACUCCAGUUCCAGGGGAUUAUUUGAUGUCUUCUUAUGGCUUCCAUAGGCACCAUGCAUGUACGUGAUGCAAACAAGCACUCAUACAAUACAGUUAACAUAAAUAAAUCUUUAAUAUAUAGGUAUACACACAAGCAUAUGUAGACACACAGAUUCAUAUAUAUGAUAGUUCUGGAGCUGUGGUGAUAAUAUUUCUAUCCCUAACGUGCAUGCUGAACAACUAUGAGAAUGUGAGUUUGACUAAACCCACAUAAAAAGCCAGCCAAGCUAGUGUGCAUUUGUGAUCCUGGGAUGGGGAGGCAGAAACACAGAGCUUAGCCUAACUGGCAAGUUCCAGGCUGGUGAGAGACCACAUCUCUCUGAGGAGAAACAACUCUUUAGGUCAUUCUGUCUCACACACAGAUAUACACAUAUGUCUAACUGCACAUAAAUGUGCACCUAGGUACACAUGAACAUGUGUGCAUACACAGUGGGUGUGGGUGUACAGUGUAUACACACACACACACACACACACACACACACACACACACACACACACUCAGUUUUGUCCAGCAGCUAACUAGCAUAUUUUUAAAAAUACAUGUAUGGGGGGGGGCGGGGUAUAAGGGUAUGUCAUGGGUUGCUUAUGGAGGUCAGAGGACAACUUUCGGGAGUUAAAUCUCUCCUUCCAACAAGUGGGUUCCAGGGAGUUCAGUUCCUGGCAACUGACAACUCAGGCUUGGCAGCAAAAGCCUUUACCUGCUGAGCCAUCUCACCAGCUCCAGCUAAACCCCCCCCCCUCUCUUUAAAAUUUUCUUUUCUGUGCAUUGGCAUUUUGCCUGCAUGUAUGCCUGUGUGAAGGUGUUGGAAGCCCUGGAACUAGAAUUAUAGACAGCUAUGAGCUGCCAUGUGGGUGCUGGGAAUUGAACCUGGGUCCUCCCUAAAAGUAGCCAGUAUUCCUGAGCAUGGAGCUAUCUCCCCAGCCCCAAUAUAUUUUUUUAAAAGAAUUAUUUAUUUUAUGUAUGUGAGCACACUGUCUCGGUCUUCAGACACACCAGAAGAGGGCAUGGGAUCCCAUUAUAGAUGGUUGUGAGCCACCAUGUGGCUGCUGGGAACUGAACUCAGGACCUCUGGAAGAGCAGUCAGUGCUCUUAACCACUGAGCCAUCUCUCCAGCCCUGCUCAUCCUUUUUUGUUUGUUUGUUUUGUUUUGUUUUUGUUUUUAUUUGAGACAGGGUUUCUCUGUAUAGUCCUGGCUGUCCUGGAACUCACUUUGUAGACCAGGCUGGCCUUGAACUCAGAAAUCCAGCUGCCUCUGCCUCCCAAGUGCUGGGAUUAAAGGCGUGUGCCACCAGAUCUGGCUGUUUUUCCUUUUUCUUAAGACAGGUUGUUGCUAUAUAGGUGAAGCUGAACAGAAACUGUGAUCCUCCUGCCUCUGCCUCCUGCGCAGCUGCAACUACAGUUGUGUACCACCAUGUCUGCUUUCGAUUCUACAAAGGACAAAUCCCAUCGCACUAGGCCAGGGAUAUGAUUAGUCUCAGUGUCAAAUCAUUUAAAAUUGGAGAUUUAUUUAUUUAUAAGUUUUUAUGUAUAUGGGUGUUUUACCUACAUGUAUGUCUGUGCACCACACGUGCGCCUAGUACCACUGGAGGCCAGAAGAGGGGCAUCAGAUGCCCUGUAACUGAAGUUACAGAUGAUUGUGAGCCACCACAUGGGUGCAGGGAACCAAUCCCACGUCCUCCUUAAGAGCAGCAAGUGCUCUUAACCACCAAGCCAUGUAUCUAUUUCGUUUUUAUAAUGGAGAUACUAAUACCUUUCUUACAGGUGGAAGGAAGAGUUAGAGGAAAGGUAGAUGAUGUCAAAGACAGUGACUGGUAUUUAGUGAGGGCUCUGUAAAUUACAAGUAUCAUAAAUAUAGAUGAGGAAUCUCCUUUGCUCGAAUCCAAACUCCUGCUCCUGCCUUCUGAUACUAAUUUAGAGCAGGGGGCCAUGUCCUGAUCACGGCCACUGUUUUCUGCUCAGGAGGUGACUGCGUCACACUCUUUGACCUUUCUGCACAACUCUGUUCUUUGUUCCUCUGUAAACUGUGAAGUGACUCUCUCAUGGGAAAUGUCCCAAGAGAACACAGAGAAAGAAAGGUACAGUGAAUUUGACUCUAUCUGCAGAUCAAGAGCUCCCCAUCCAAUAAACACAGCUAGGUACAUAACCACCUGAAUUGCCCACUGUCAACAGAACACAGUGAGUCCUCCACAUGAGCCCAUGGGGGAGGGGCCCAAGCUUCUCUUGAAAAAUCUGUUAUUUCCACACAGAACAGCACACAACCCUCAAUAUCUCCACAGCACUGCUUUAGAAAGCUCUUGCUGGGGUGGUGGCACAUGCCUUUAAUCUCAGCACUCACAAGGCAGAGGCAGGUGGAGCUCUGCAAGGUUGAGGCUAGUCUGGUCUAAGCUCUGGGUUAGCUAGGGCUACAUAGAGAGGCCUGUCUCAGAAGAAGGUGGAGGAGGAAGGGGAAGAGGAAGGGGAAGAGGAAGGGGAAGAGGAAGAAAAGCAAGAGGAGGACUCCCUCAAGGUUCAACAAUUCUUGCAAAAGAUAAAAGUUUAUAGUCAUACAGAGCAGUGGUUCGCAACCUGUGGGUUGAGACCCCCCUUGGAGUCGAAUGACUCUUUCAGAGGGGUCGCCUAAGACCAUUGGGAAACACAGAUAUUUACAUUAUGAUUUAUAACAGUAGCAAAAUUACAGUUAUGAGGUAGCAAUGAAAAUAAUGUGUGGCUGGGGGGGAGGGGGUCACCACAGCACGAGGAACUGUAUUAAAGCUCACAGCAUCAGGGAGGCUGAGAGCCCCGGCUGUGGAGGAGGGUGAAUGCCAAUCACACAGAAAUAUAAACUACAGCAAAGGAGAAGGCACAGGGCCUGACCCAGAGGGAGCACGAGGGAAGCCUGGAGCGGAAGACGGCUAGGCUGCGGCCUGGAAGGAAUUUACACAGGGAAAGGCUGCGACAUGGCGAGACUGUGGGCAGAGGAGGAAGAAACGUGCUCGACCAUUUAGAAAAUGACACUGUAAGGUGUCUUCACAGUUCUGCCAAAGAAUUCAGGGGACUCAGGAACAAGUCAUAUAGAAAAUUAAGGGGGGAAAAAAGUGAGAGACAGAAAGUACUGAAAAUUACACAGCAAAGUACACAGUGAUAACGAGUGUUCACAGACCACCAAGUCUUACAGUAAGUGCAAGAUAAUAAUUUAAUUGGGACUUGUGAAGAAGGUAGGUAGGCUAGGAAGUUAAAAGGUUUUUAAAACUUGUAGAGAGAUAUCUGAGACACGGUGAACAGUGAAUUCUAAGUCAGCCUGGGCUACAGGCCCUGCUCAGAAUCAGACCCCCCCCCCCCCCCGCCCCAUAUUGAGACUGUAAGCCAGGCAUGGUGGUCCGUGCUGAAAUCUCAGUGCUCAGAAGGAAGCAGAGAAACUGCUGUGGCCUGGGCUACACAAUGAAUAAAUAAAAGAAGGAACAGAGAAAUGAAUUACUCAAAAAUGGGGACACAGCUAGGGAAACAAUGAGGGGAGCUGUCAGCAGGAGUUACUCUCUGGCACGGUAGGUAGCACACGACCUGGAGUCCACUGGUGAUCUUGGCAGGAACAAUCAGAGGACAGGAGAUACGAUUAGAUCAGGGCAGACAGAGGGGUUCGGUGCUGUGGCAGAUGCCUGCAAUCCUAGCACUCGGGAGGCAGAGGCAGGAUGUUCAUGACUUUGAGACAAGCUUGGUUUACAUAACAAAUUCAGGCCAGCCAGGAUUCCAUAGUGAGGCCCUGUCAGAAACAAAACAGUGACAAAUACAGAACAGCAGUGUCACUGGAGGGCAAGGAGGGCAGCAGGCAGUAGCUGGGGACUGCUGCUCAUUAGAAACUGUUACGUGACUUCAUAACUAAGCUUACUGUUUAUUAAACUAAAUCCACCGAAGCCAAAUGGUCAUGCGCACUGACCCAUGAUGCUAUAUAGCACCUUUAGCAGGUGGCACUGACCGGCUACUCAGGAGGUUUCUUUGUACCUCAUUUUCUAUUUGAUGCUUACUCUCCCCUCCUGCUUCUUUGAGAGAGAAUCUGGCCCUAGAGGCAGGACUGACCUCAAAUGUCCUUUACAGUCCAGGCUGGUUUUGAACACAUGACCCUCCAGUCUCAGCCUCCUAAAUGCUGGUGACACAUGCUAUCCCCAGGCUUCCGUAAACUCUUGAAUCCUUGACUGUCUGGUCUCAUUUCCUGUUACCUCUCUGUUUUUGUCCCAGAAUCUCAGUGAACUCCAGGUUAGCAAACAUGAGGGAUACUUUCAGCCACACCAGUGUUAUCUCUUCUGAAAUACCAGUCAUUUUCCUGCCUCAGGACCUUCACAAACAUUCCAGGAAUUUUUGCAUGGAAAGUAUUUGUUAAUGGGAAUAUUUAAAACAUCCCUCAAUAACUACAAUUCAGGCUUGAACUUCAACCAUUUAAACAUUUAAAAGAUUGUUAUCUUGUGUUUUCCCUGCAUGUAUGUCUGUGCACCAUGCACAUGGGUGGUAUUCACAGAGGCCAGAGGGAGCGUCAGAGUCUAUGGAAUUGGAGUAAUAGAUAUUUGUGAACCACCGCGUGGGUGCUGGAAGUUGGUCCUGGGUCCGAUGCGUGAGCAGCCAGUGCUUCUAACCACUGGGCCGUCUUUCUAGCCCCUCAAUCAUUUUUAAUAAAUUUAGAAUUUCAAAAACUGUAAGAGUGUAAGUUUUUGAGAGCCCUUGGGUUCAGAGACUCCAUUUCUACCAUUAUGGCCAGGCAGAACACACCUUUAAUUCCAGCACUUGGGAGGAAGAGGCACACUGUCUGUGUAAAUUCAAGACUAGCCUGAUUUACAUAUGAGUUUCAAACCACCUAUGGCUAAAUAGUGAGAC